AGGGCUGUAGUUAAAAAUAACAUUUGACUUGCAUUCAAAAAGUAUUGAAUAAAUCAAUCUGCCUUG
This 66-nucleotide transfer RNA is filed under the name Satanas sp. KW-2016. Its description in RNAcentral is "tRNA-Ala". It matches the Rfam family "tRNA". From Rfam's summary of the family: Transfer RNA (tRNA) molecules are approximately 80 nucleotides in length. Lineage: Eukaryota; Metazoa; Arthropoda; Insecta; Diptera; Asilidae. The record is from RNAcentral.